GUGUCUUUAACUUUCAGAUCACGAAGAUGAUGGAGAAACUGUCAGUGCUGGUCUCAGGGAUAGCACAGCUUUUUUGAGCUUUUCUUGUGAAGACUGUGUCUACUGUUGGGGAGGAUGCUAUUUCAUGCCCAUGUGAAGACUUUGCAGGACCAGAAGACAACCAGAAAUUGGCCCAAUGCAUGCUGUAACUGAUUGAAGGUGUUUCCAGGAUUCCGUAAAGGGUAAGUUCACCCAAAA
Long non-coding RNA from Sinocyclocheilus anshuiensis, 237 nucleotides. RefSeq lists it as uncharacterized. The record is from RefSeq and is a predicted model, not a curated record. NCBI's taxonomy places the organism in Eukaryota, Metazoa, Chordata, Actinopteri, Cypriniformes, Cyprinidae. The transcript has 3 exons.